GCUCAGGCUGGUAGGCUUACUGAAGGCUGAGUGACUGAAAAACUUAUCAUUUGACUGACUGAAUAAUGGGCCAGCUGACUGGCUGACUGGUUGACUGACUGUCUGUCAUUGACUUACUGACAUAUUCACAGAUUCAUUAGCAUGUCUGUACCACAAAAAAGUGCUCAAUGCAGGCAGAUAAUUCACCAAGAAACAAGAACAUGUUUUAAUUGCCAUCUUUAUUGCUUGCUUGCCCUCGAUGCCUUAGGGUUGUGCAUGCACAGGCAAGCCAGUUACAAUAACUGCACUAAUUCAGUGACUUACUGAUCAUGUGAUUGAUUGUUGGAAUGAGUCAGUUGCCUAUUGACAGGCUGUUCAAUUAAAUAACUGGGUGACAUACCAAUAGAAUGACUUAUCUUGCUGUUUAGUGCAAAACACUAGCAAUUUACAUUAGGGGUUGCAGGUGGGGACAGGUGAAGAACUCUUGUGUAAUUGAAGAUAAGAAUGACCCAUUUCCCACAGUACUAAGAAAGAAAAGGAACUUCCUUUUGAACAAUUUUUUUCAUGGGUUAAACUUUGAUCUCGAGACAUAUCUUUAGUUAACCCUUUAACCCCCAGAAGUGAUUAACAUGUAACUUCCCCUUACAGUAUCCAUAUAUUAUCCGGCAAAAAAGGUCAUGAGAAUAUUCCAACAUAAAGUAGAACUUAUCUUGCUCUAACACCAAAUUCUUGAAACUAAUUUACAAAGAAAUAUGUAGUAUCCAGAGGGGAGAAUUCAUAAUCAGAACUUUGGAGUUCAAGGGUAAAUUAAACUCUUGGUUAUCUCCCUUAACUUGAAGGUACAUGCAUGAAUAACGAAUUUUUACUGAGACGCAGUCUUGGUUUCCAGUUGGCUCUCACAUCUAUCACUUGCUACACAAAUUGACCACAGGCAAAAUGAACUGAUUGAGUCACUGAGUGCUUCAAUCAUGAACUUCCAAGUUGUCAGUGAAACUCAUUGAGCAUAAGUACAAGAAAGAGGUGCUGCAGACUUUGUUCUUACCUUAGACAAGGCCUUUCCAGAAAACUCCUUAGAAAGAGAUGCCAAGUCGAAAGAGGAGGAUGAAAAAAGGGAUUCAAAGAGGAUUAGAUAAAUGAAAUGGGGAACGACAGAAAGAUCAAGGAGAAUUUGGCUAAUUGUUGCUUGAAUUUAAUUAUUGAAGAAAGAAACAAGAGAAAGUUUUCAAGUCUCUAUUUUUAUUAAUGUCAAUAACAAGAAUUGUCAAGUAAAGUAAGAAAUGUACGUCUUACUCGAGCAGCGCAAAUAGAUGUUUACAUUUUUUUCAAGUAGUACUUUACUAGAUAAAAAGCACUAAAACUUUUGUUGAAAUAAAUGUGUAAAUCAACAAUAUUAUACUGCGACUAUCGUAGAAAAUUUGCUAUGUCUUGAUUAGUUUAAUAAAUGUUUUGUAGUAGAAGUCCAAGUGAAAAGUCCUUAAAAAGUAGUAGCAGUAGUAGUUUAAACAGGAACUCGUUCACAAAUUUGUCAGUUUAGGUGUAGUGCAAGUGAAAACAUUUUGUUGAAUCUGUCAAAGAGUAGAAAUAAAAAUUCAGUUCGAAACUCUUUCAAAGAUCAGUCUAGUUCUAAUAAUAGCACAAGUGAAGAGUUGUUUUAAAAUCUGUCAAAGUCCAGCAGUAGAAGUGCAAUCAAGUUUAAGUGCAAUUGUAAAAUCCACUCAAAUUCUUUCAAAGUCCAGUAGUGGUAGUGCAAUUGAAGAGUAGUUAAAAAAUCAGUC
This is a long non-coding RNA of Pocillopora damicornis (cauliflower coral), 1754 nucleotides long. The record is from RefSeq and is a predicted model, not a curated record. NCBI's taxonomy places the organism in Eukaryota, Metazoa, Cnidaria, Anthozoa, Scleractinia, Pocilloporidae.